Molecule: long non-coding RNA, 2895 nt
Organism: Micropterus salmoides (largemouth bass)
Lineage: Eukaryota; Metazoa; Chordata; Actinopteri; Centrarchiformes; Centrarchidae
Exons: 2
Source: RefSeq, a predicted model, not a curated record
UCGCCUCUUGUUGGUCAAAUAAACCUUUUCUGAACUUGUCCUGCGUUUGGGUCGUCCAACCCGCUCAACCCUACAACCCUGACAGCUUCCAUGGGAGGUGCCGCUGUCGUGUGACUUCAUUCGGGUGCUACUCGUGAAGUUGGCAGAUAUUUUUUCUACGAGGUCACGAGUAGGAAAUCUGACAUCAGGUGGCGUUCCAUAGUACUUUUUCUUGUUGGAGGUUGGAAAUUCCCCAGUUGUGAGUUGCCUGGAACGCAGCAUAAAUCAUUGAUGCAGGACAGCCCAAAUAAUCAAGCACAGGAGAACGAACCGUAACACUGACUUUAAAACAAGAAUCAAUACAAAGUGGGCCAAAAUAAUACAAAAUACAAAAACCAUGAUCGUGACACUUUUAUAAUGUCUUGGUUGUUUGCUGCCUCAAAUAAAUAAUAGAUGCAUCAAGGCUACGAAUGUGUUGCAAGCUUUUGUCAGCAGGAUCUUGCAUAUGUGGAAACGCAUACGUUCAGCCAGUGAGGUGCAUAUAAUCACAAUGUUGUAUCCAGUGGUCUCUCUCCCCUGUUAACCUUUUGUUCUCUGCUGUUUACCCAUCCUAUUGUGCCUGUCUGUCUGUUUUCCCCUGUGAGUUGCUUAGUUUGCAGAUGGGCGUGCUUUUCCUCCCUGGCUCCUGCACAGUGUCUCCACACACCUGCACCUCGUUCCAAAUCAACCGCAGGUCCAGCACGCCAGUAUUCGCCAGAUCAUCUUCCGUGAACCACCCGAACCUGCCUGCCAGCUCACCUGCUGCACCCUCGCAGCUUCAGUCCAACCACUUCGCUUCGCUUUCCCUAUCUGGACCUGGAUCGACUCCCUCGCCCCCUGGGUCCAGCUUUUAUGUACACCAUUAACACCUAGCUGUUUAAGCAGGGAGCUGUUCUCAGGACUCCACUCUUCCUCCUCCUUCCCUUUUCUCAUUUCUCCCUUCUGAAGAAGAUGGGCUCAGGUUAGGAAUUCAAUUAUUUAUUAAAUUUAAGCUUGAUGUAGUACACUUAAGUAGCACACAAAGAACCUUUUUUAAAGGGAUAGUUCAGGAUUUAAAGUGGAGCUGUGUGAGGUAAUUAUCCACGGUCAGUGAGAGUGAUCACCCAGGAACCCUCAAAAAGCCUGAAAUUAAGUUUGUUUUUGUUUGCCAUGUUUUAUUUCUAAGCAAGUAGUCUCAAGUAGAGCCAUGUCUUUAGAGUGUAGCAAAGCUUAACAUCAGGAAGCAGAUGGAACAGAACAUAUCCUUCAGUUACUGAGGAUGUGAGCUCACACAGUGGCAAACAAAUAUUUUACUAAGCAAUCAUUUGAAGCUGAGAGGAGCUCAGCAGCAAUUACAGCCUGUUUUAUUGUAGGCUAAUAUCAAUCCUGCAUGUUUCAAAUUGUUAUUACUUGUUUAAAUGUGGUAUGAACAGUUAAUUAGUGACUAAUCUCCACUACAGAUUUCAAAAGAUAUGUAAGAGACAUGGGCCCAGAAUUGUAUGCUACGCUCCUGACUGCAGGUAAUACACUGAUUAUACCUCAUGCUGUCCCACUUAAAAAAAAAAAAAUAAAAAAAAAAAAAAAAUCCAACUAUUAGGGUUGGGUGUCGUUUAAAAUUUUACACUACCAGUACCAAAACCAGUACACUUAAAGUGAUAGACCACCAAGUACUUCAUUCGAUACCUAGCGUAAAGUGCCACCUGUUGAAGAGAUAGUGGUUGAUUGGUAGCCUAUUAUUAUUUUUAUUGUUCAGACAAGCAAGGUUUUUCAAAUAACGGUUACAUAAAAUAUAUACAGAUCCUCCUCACAGGUAGUAUCAUCAGAGACAGCUUGGAAGUUUUUUUUUGUAUUUGAGUGAGAGAGGAGGAGUGAAAUAGUUUAGCGACCAAAUGAGUUUAGAUAAAUUUUUGAUACGUUUGUGAAAGUAAACAGAAUUAUUUCUUUAGGAACGGGUAGCUCGAUACUCGAUACAUUUAAGCCCAGCAUUGAGUAGUAUCCAAACGUGUCCACUCAAACCAGUUCUUCAGUCAAUACUUUUUGUAUCCAAAUUGCGGCAAAAUGACUAUUUUUAUGGUUUUGCUUGCAGCCAAACACACAAGCAACACACUGAAAGAAAGAGAAAAGCAUGCCUUUUUUUUUUUUUUUUUUUUUCCCGUACGUGCCUGCACCCGCUUGUCCAUGUGUCUGAGAUGUCUCAUUUUAUAACUGACUAAGAAGGUUGUCAGUUUUUUUUUUUUUAUUCCUGGGAACACACCAUUUCAAAAGCUCAGACUUAACUUCCUUAGGCAACCUGCUCAAGCAUCAAGUCAGUACUCAGUACUAGUGUUACAUUCAAUUCUUAAGAAUCUGUACAUAUGCAGGAACAAGUUAAACAAACCUUUCAUUGUUUUCUGUUGUGAAACUUGAGUCUCGCCCUAAUUCAAAUGAGGUGGCUGCACUAUAGUUGGCACAAAAGAGCAACAAAGACAGUGACACCUGACGAAAAAUCAGUUUUUGCACUUUCAUUCUCUAACUUUAAUGGGGUUAGUUGGUAGGGAUCACUAAUAGCCCAGUAUUGAGUAGUAUCCAGAUGUCUCCAGUCAAACCAGUACUUGAUUCAAUAGUAUUUGUAACCAAAUUGCGGCAAAAUGACUAUUUGUAUGGUUUUGCUUGCAGCCAAAAACACAAGCAACACACUGAAAUAAAGAGAAGGGCAUGACUCUUUUUUUAUUUUUUUAUUAUUUUUUUUUUUAUCAGCCGCUCACCUUCGGCUGUAACACGUUCGUCACUGUUGCACAUUUAUCACCACAAGCUUGGCUUUCUAUUGGUUCAUCUUCUGGUAUCAUUUAAGAGUUCUCUGUACAUUUGCAUUUGCUGUUCUUUCUAAAAAAAUAAAAGAGGCAUGUCCUUCUUUCAGUG